CAGCAGCCGCGGUAACACGGAGGGGGCUAGCGUUGUUCGGAAUUACUGGGCGUAAAGCGCACGUAGGCGGCUUGGUAAGUUAGAGGUGAAAGCCCAGGGCUCAACCCUGGAAUUGCCUUUAAGACUGCCGAGCUAGUAGGUGAGAGAGGUAAGUGGAAUUCCGAGUGUGGAGGUGAAAUUCGUAGAUAUUCGGAAGAACGCCAGUGGCGAAGGCGGCUUACUGGCUCAUUCUAGACGCUGAGGUGCGAAAGCGUGGGGAGCAAACAGGAUUAGAUACCCCUGUAGUCCCUGUCUCUUAUAC
This 301-nucleotide ribosomal RNA is filed under the name uncultured bacterium. RNAcentral's name for it is "partial 16S ribosomal RNA". It matches the Rfam family "Bacterial small subunit ribosomal RNA", at positions 509 to 807 of the family's 1533-position model. The record is from RNAcentral.